CAGCCGCCGCGGGAACACAGAGGCCUCAAGCGUUGUUCGGAUUCAUUGGGCGUAACGGGUGCGUAGGCGGUCGGGUAAGUCGGAUGUGAAAUCCUGGGGCUCAACCUCAGAACUGCAUUCGAUACUGCUCGGCUAGAGGACUGGAGAGGAGAUCGGAAUUCACGGUGUAGCAGUGAAAUGCGUAGAUAUCGUGAGGAAGACCAGUGGCGAAGGCGGAUCUCUGGACAGUUCCUGACGCUGAUGCACGAAGGCUAGGGGAGCAAACGGGAUUAGAUACCCGCGUAGUCCCUGUCUCUUAUAC
Molecule: ribosomal RNA, 301 nt
Filed under: uncultured bacterium
Lineage: Bacteria
Description: partial 16S ribosomal RNA
Rfam family: Bacterial small subunit ribosomal RNA
Source: RNAcentral